This 67-nucleotide transfer RNA is filed under the name Pseudolycoriella hygida. Its description in RNAcentral is "Bradysia hygida tRNA-Ile". Lineage: Eukaryota; Metazoa; Arthropoda; Insecta; Diptera; Sciaridae. The record is from RNAcentral.
AAUAAAUUGCCUGAUUAAAGGAUUACUAUGAUAGAGUAAAUUAAAUAAUUUUAUAUUAUAUUUAUUA